Meleagris gallopavo (turkey) is the source of this 963-nucleotide non-coding RNA. The record is from RefSeq and is a predicted model, not a curated record. Lineage: Eukaryota; Metazoa; Chordata; Aves; Galliformes; Phasianidae.
ACCAGGUGUGAACACGAUGCAGCACCAGGCAGGCGAUGGAACCCUGCUGAAGGGGCAUUCAGAUGGGGAACAUUCCAUUACACUGUCUGCACAAACACCCGUCUCUGAGCUUACUUAGGAUGCAUUUUUUCCACAUCCUUCAUCAAAGCUGAAUAAUUCUGCACAAAAUAACCAACUGUGUGUUGAAUAAGAAAGAGGGGCUGUACCACUGCAAGCAAAUAGAAUGUAUUCCUCAAAAAAAAGUUUGGCUAGUCUUGGCUGAUCAAAAUGUUCGAUGGCUGCUGUCUGAAUUGCAGAAAUUCCACAAGCGGGACUGUCCAGACCCUCUAUUCGCCCCUCGUCUCCGCGCCGCUUCCCGCCCGGCGGCUCUGAGGUACCGCCACGAGGCGCCCCGUGCCUAGGCGCGAGGCUGAGGCGCCGCUGUGUGAGGAGCCGUCCGCCGCGUUCAGGACGCUGUGCUGAAGCACAGCUGCAGACAGUGCUCCGUAUAGAUGCACAGGUCUAGUAGAAAAUUGUCUCUAGCUAGCAAAUACGCGUUCAGCACAGAUGGAAACUUGGCCUGCAGCCAUUUUAUUGACCUGAAGGGAAGGUGCUUUUCAAAGCUUAACUGGAGCUGUUUAACCACUAACACUCUUUACAAGAAGCAACCUCCCUCCACCCCAACUCCUCUUCAAAAUCAAGGCAUUCAGAUGUCCAAAUCUCUUAAUGUUAAAGAACUCUAAGGGAAGGAUGAUCAAAGAAGCAGAUGAUUUAUAAAGACAAGAGAAGGUAGUUCGGCUCAGUAAUUCCGUGCUAGAGUCGGUGCUGUUUGACUUCAGAAGAGCAUGAAUGUAUGGCCCACAGAGCUACCUCCUAAGGUAAUGAGGAACAGUGAACCCUGCAACUCUGGAAAGAGGCAGAAGUUUGGCUAGAGCAAACUUUUGCUGGAGUUCAAAAAGGCACUUUUGACUAUUCAUACGGACA